AACAAGGCGUACCUGCGGACCUGCGGAGGGAUCAUUAUCCAUCCAAAACCAGCUGCGGUCGCGGCCCCACGCUUACCCGUGGCGGUACGCGCCGCACGUCUGCACCCUUUUUUUACGAGUACCUUCGUUCUCCCUCGGCAGGGCAACCUGCCGUUGGAACCAUACAAAACCUUUUUUUGCAUCUAGCAUUACCUGUUCUGAUACAAACAAUCGUUACAACUUUUAACAACGGAUCUCAGA
RNAcentral lists this unclassified non-coding RNA (240 nucleotides) under soil metagenome. RNAcentral's name for it is "partial contains 5.8S ribosomal RNA, internal transcribed spacer 2, and large subunit ribosomal RNA". The record is from RNAcentral.